This 921-nucleotide unclassified non-coding RNA is filed under the name Hevea brasiliensis (rubber tree). Lineage: Eukaryota; Viridiplantae; Streptophyta; Magnoliopsida; Malpighiales; Euphorbiaceae. The record is from RNAcentral.
GUCACCGUCCCUUGGAUUGCGAGACUGUUAAGAAGUGGGUUUUAAAGAACACGUCUGAGUCUGAGAAUAUGAAUUACAUACUCUCGCCUAUUGCAAGCCUUGUCCCAACUGUAAGCGACCAUAGAAAAAAACUUGGGGUGUAUGCACAUGAAUUGCAGGGUUUGUGGGCACGAUUUUUGCUGGGUAUGCCUUAGUCCAUUUUCCUAUCAUAUAACUUGUAAUGCAUAUAAGACUUCGGAUCCAGAAGCAAGAAAAUAGAGAUGGCAAAGCAAUCUCUAGAGAAAUAUACUCAUUAUUUUGAACGUUGGGAUGUCAAUAAAAAAUCCAAAGUGAAGGCUAUUGCAGAUUUCCAAAAAGUGAAAAAUGAGAAAUUCAAGCAGCUUAGUAAGAAUCUAGACAUUUCAGAGGCAUGUUUCGACUUUAUAACCAAAGCUUGGCUGCAGAUAGUAGAGUGUAGGGGAAUACUGGAGUGGAGUUAUGCGUAUAGGUACUACUUGCCUGACAAUGGGCCUGCAAAGAAGCAUUUUUUCGAGUUCUUGCAAGGGGAGGCAGAAUCCUGGCUGGAAAAGCUUCAUAAUUGUGUGGAAAGAGAGCUACAGCCAUUUCUCUAUCAUGAAAACCAGUUAAAGCAUUUCGACGAUUACAGAAGAAAUUUAAUUCAACUGGCUAUUGUGACAGAAAAUUACUUUGAGAAGCUGGUUAAAGCAUUAGAAAAUGGUCUAUCUGACGUCCAUAAGGCUAGCAGCAGCAGCUCCAAGGAUAUGUUCGAAGAUGAUUAUUGGUUUUGUGAUUGCUGUACCUAUGCCAAUCCCUUCUCUGUCAAUAAAUGCCAAAUGUGUACGCCUGAUGAUUAUGAAGGGGCUUGAUUAGCAUAUAUAGGGCUACGAGUUAAGUCAAAUUGCUGUAAUAGGGCCAUUGUCU